UCCCGGUUCUAGGCACGAACCGGGACAUUGGUCCCGGUUCGUGCCUAGAACCGGGACAGAAGGGAGAGCUUUAGUCCCGGUUCCAGCCACUAACCGGGCCAAAU
Triticum aestivum (bread wheat) is the source of this 104-nucleotide non-coding RNA. The record is from Rfam. NCBI's taxonomy places the organism in Eukaryota, Viridiplantae, Streptophyta, Magnoliopsida, Poales, Poaceae.